This 1153-nucleotide unclassified non-coding RNA is filed under the name Yarrowia lipolytica. Lineage: Eukaryota; Fungi; Ascomycota; Dipodascomycetes; Dipodascales. The record is from RNAcentral.
CCGACGUUACAUCGGCGGCUAACAGGGCCGGAUAUUAUCUGGGCACCAGUCUGGAGGCGAAAGAAAGGGUGCAUGCAAGUCUUCUACUGCAGUGUGCUUGUUGUGCUUCUUGUUGCUGGCGGUGUUGUUGUCACUUGUUUCGAACCGCAUGUGGAAUGACACUAAGUCGGGGCUUGUGUGUUUUAGACCCACGUUGGCACCAACAUCCGGUUUAGCCCAUCUUUAGACACGGAUUAGACCCCGGUUAGGCUGCUCUUGGGUCUGUUUUAGAUCCGGUCGCAUUCUGCAAUUCUUGUGCAGGGGUCGAUGAGAUGGUAGCUUACGCACCACGCGAUAGAUGGCUUUUAUGAGGGGCGUGCGAGACCCAGAUGGGGGCUACACCACGGCCGCCAACACGAGGUAGGUGCAACAAGUGCCGCGAGACCGCUACAUGGCCCCAUUCUAGACAUGACAUCACCGCCCACCAACCCCGACGUCAGUUUCACCAGCCCAAAGUCCAGCUAAACUGCUGCCGAACUCUUGGCCAGACAUGUGAAUCAGGCGGUUUCGGAAGCGACACUAGUUCAACAGCCACUACUGGUAGCUACGGUACGAGUAGUGCAAACACUUGCACCGGAAGGGCGUUCCAUCUACAACUACUGUAAGCUCGAGCGCCGCCCACUUGCACCGUAGCCCAGCGAUGCCAGUACCCCUACCAGUACACAAUGUCGUGUACGACUCGAACAUACCAACACGUACAUACCACACAAACCCCACAAGCGGCUGAAAGAAACUCCUUCUAGCUCCUUCACCUGCACAAAAGAAGCGUUUGCUCUACAAUUACCGUACCACACCGUACCGUACUGUACCAAUUGCUAUCUCCUCGCCAACUCAGAAUAAUAUCGGACGCCUACAAAUAUUAUCGCCGGACUGGUUCCACUGCGUUAGUGUGCUGUGGAUGCAGCCCUGGGCACAAACGAUCCAUCCAUCACUGAGUCAAUGGAACAAGCUGAAGGAAUUACACAGCAGUAACAAUGGCAGUAACAAUGGCAUUACUGAGUCAAUCAGACAAGACAAGAAGCCGAGACAACCGAAUUGCGUGACAAACGAAUUGUUUCGUGAUAAACAAUUGCUUUGCUUUGUAUCGUCUUAUCUAUCAUCACUCGUACCACAU